This 464-nucleotide ribosomal RNA is filed under the name uncultured bacterium. RNAcentral's name for it is "partial 16S ribosomal RNA". It matches the Rfam family "Bacterial small subunit ribosomal RNA", at positions 29 to 507 of the family's 1533-position model. The record is from RNAcentral.
UACGCACGCUGGCGGCGUGCUUAACACAUGCAAGUCGAACGGAAAGGCCCUAGUUUGCUGGGGUGCUCGAGUGGCGAACGGGUGAGUAACACGUGGGUAACCUGCCCUUCACUUUGGGAUAAGUUCGGGAAACUGGGUCUAAUACCGGAUACGACCGCCUCGUGCGGGUGUGGUGGUGAGUGUUUCGGUGUGGGAUGGGCGCGCGGCCUACCAGCUUGUUGGUGGGGUGAUGGCCUACCAAGGCGGCGACGGGUAGGCGGCCUGAGAGGGUGGACGGCCACAUUGGGACUGAGACACGGCCCAGACUCCUACGGGAGGCAGCAGUGGGGAAUAUUGCACAAUGGGCGGAAGCCUGAUGCAGCGACGCCGCGUGGGGGAUGACGGCCUUCGGUUUGUAAACUGCUUUCGCCUGUGACGAAGCGUGACUGACGGUAGAGGGAAAAGAAGCACCGGCUAACUACGUG